UACGUAGGGGGCUAGCGUUGUCCGGAUUUAUUGGGCGUAAAGAGCGUGUAGGCGGCCAUGUAGGUCCGGUGUGAAAACUCGAGGCUUAACCUCGAGAUGUCAUCGGAAACCAUUUGGCUAGAGUCCGGAAGAGGAGAGUGGAAUUCCUGGUGUAGCGGUGGAAUGCGCAGAUAUCAGGAGGAACACCGAUGGCGAAGGCAGCUCGCUGGGACGGUACUGACGCUGAGGCGCGAAAGCGUGGGGAGCGAACAGG
Molecule: ribosomal RNA, 253 nt
Filed under: uncultured bacterium
Lineage: Bacteria
Description: partial 16S ribosomal RNA
Rfam family: Bacterial small subunit ribosomal RNA
Source: RNAcentral